Molecule: transfer RNA, 65 nt
Filed under: Alpheus bellulus
Lineage: Eukaryota; Metazoa; Arthropoda; Malacostraca; Decapoda; Alpheidae
Description: tRNA-Tyr
Rfam family: tRNA
About the family: Transfer RNA (tRNA) molecules are approximately 80 nucleotides in length.
Source: RNAcentral
GAGAGGAUGGCUGAAGUUUAGGCGAUAGAUUGUAAAUCUAUGUAUGAAAGUGUUUUCUCUUCUCA